UGGGACACCUGGUCAACAGCACAAGUGAAGGGUGCUGGGGUUUCAGUUGACAGGAAGCCUUUGUGACUCAGCGGGGGAGGCGGCCAGCAGAGCUCACAUGGCUGCAGCCUCCCCAAGUGGAGGACAGUGAGCGGAGGCGGGAGGCAGGCUCCCAAGUCAGCGUGCAUCCAGGAAAUGCAGUCCAGGCCUGGGGACCCCAGUGGGACAGGGUGCCCGCAACCUGGCACUGGCGGGGGCGCCUCGCGCGGCUGCUGCCCCACGCUCCGCAUCUUUGCGUCACCACGGCACGUCAGCCUGUCUCUGAGCAGGUGCAGCCCCUUCCUGACUCUUCUGCACGUGCCUCACCUGCUUCGGGAACGGGCCACGCUUCAGUUUUGAUUUUGCGAUUAAUGUAACCCGAGUCAGCGCCGGGGCUCCUGGUGACCCCGUCUCUACAGCAAGUCCCGCUGAAAGACGUGCAAUGCAGCAAGCAACGGGGCGGGAGACACGUCAGUCUUCGCGCACAUCUCAGAGGUGAGGAAGGGUGAGGCCCCCUGCGCGUCUCUGUCUCACCAUCUCAGGCCUCAAGUCUUCUCUAGACUCCCGACGCCAGUGCGCCCAGCAGGCCGCCCCGCUUCGUCCUGUCGUGGCUCUGCUGUGCAGACGGACUUCACGUCCGUGUCUUUUCCUGUCCCUCCUUCUUUCCUCCUCUCCAUUCUUCUUCAAUUUUCUUUCCACUUCACGGCUGACCCAACUUCCUCCCCUCAAAGGAGGACCGAGGAACUGAUUCAACAAGCCAGGAAUUGCCCGCUUUCCUCCAGUCUCUCCGGUGAUCUGUCCCUCCCAUUCUCUCAGGGACUGGAUGGCCAGGACAGGACUCAUCUCAGGGAGCUGGACGAGGAGAAGCCGUGCAGACAGGAGCUGCCUCUGCAGUGGGGGAGGCGGGGCAUAGCGGCAACGGGGGGCGUGGAGGCCGGAGACCUCUACACACGAAGUGGGCCUCACUGCAAUGGCAUGUGGUCGCCGUGGGCGGGAGAUCCAGGCCACCCCUGAGGACAAGGCCCACCAGACUGCCACGUGACAACCCCUCUGUGAACAGCAGCGGGCGGAGACCCUCCCUGGCAGAGCUGACGCGUGUCUCUCUGCUGGUGUGGCCCGCGAUGUGCCGGGACAGGCCAUGCUCACCACAUGUCCCCAGGCUCCGCCCCCUCCCCGGCCUCCUCUGCCCCAGAGGCUGAGAUGGAGACUCGGGGGGCCCUGUGUUCCCGAUGGCGUGCAGAACGGGGAAGGCUCUCCCAGCUCGCUGUGUACCUUACAGGACAAGGGAGAAUCUCCCAUUGUGCCAGGGCCCUGAGAGCGCACUGCUGUCACGGCGGCGCGGCCUGGCCCCUCCCAGCGACCACCCGGAGUGGCGGGAUGAACUGAACAACUGCUCUUCGUGAGCUGUGCGGUGCGAUGAGGGGAAGGGCUGCCCCGGAGCCUCCCAGGGCAGCUGCUCGGCACCUCCUCUCACUGCCAUCAUCCCGCACAGAUGGCGCUUCCUGUUUGGUGGCACCUCACGUGGGCUCCUCGUCCCCCACCAACUCUGCCAGCCGCCAUCCCACACAGAUCAGAGCUCUCGGCUCCACGAGGUCGACAAGCAGUGGGGAGCCGUCACGAAGCCCUCGAAGCACGAGGCGGGCUGAGCUGAGGGCGCAGCCACACCUGGAGACAGACCGGAGCCGCCACGACGGCAGCCACAGCAGGGCCCGCAGCGCUCCGUCAGGCAGAGUUACCCGCGUCCUGAGCGCUGGGGGUGACGACCUAGCUUCUGUCCCGAAUCCUGCGUUGCCACGUGUCUGACUGGUUACCGCAGCCUCAGGAGGAGGAGAGCUGCCGAGCUCGCCGCACAGACAGGCGGGGGGUUUUGCAGAGACACCCGCCCCCACCCCUCCGGGACCGCGUGGCGUGUGAGGAGCUCCAGCUCUUGCACCCAGGUCUCUGACUCGAAGGGGUGGAUUUUAGAACAACAGCGCCCGUCUGCUCCCGGCGUGAGAGGCCGCGGCUGAUCUCAGUCCGCAAGCUCCUGGUCCCUGAGGAACUUCCACCUUCAGCCUGUGGGUGUGUGUCGGGGGGGGAGGGGCACCGCAGGGAGAGGCAGGCUCUGAACUGCUACAGGCAAGAGGGGUUUUCUUGGGAAAAGCCAUGGGCUAGAGGCAGAGUCCUGGCAGACCCUCUGAUCCACUUCAUAACUGUGAAACCUCCCUUUCCCCAUCUAGAAAUGGGAGGAGAGACAUUGAUCUACCUUAAAGGAUUUCUGUGAGGACCCAAGAGAGAAUGGGGUGAAAAGGUUUUGAAAAGUUGAAGUGCUUGUUUUAAGUAGGAAGUAAUAGAACACCCAACUACAAUGGUUUUACCAGCUGAAGCCUUUUUUCUCAUGAAAUAAGGAGUCCCUGGUGAGAGUGCAGGCCAGGGAAGGAGGUGAUAAUGCCAUCGAGGGCCUGGCCUCUUUCUGUUUUUCUGCUCUAGCUUCAUUGUCAUACAGCUACCUCAUAAACACAAAGAGGGUGCUGCACCUCCAGACCUUGCGUUCAAGUUCCAGGCAGGGAACAAGAAGGGAGGAGGAGGAAGAAUGGGUGCCUAUGUGAUGAAUGCAAAGGAUUUCUUAGAAGUUCAAUAGCUCACUGGUCAGCACUGCAAUCAGAGGGCCAGCUUCUCGGUAUAUGGGGGGCUGGAGGUGUGAGCAUUGGUGUUCAGGUGCACCACCACCCUGAUCAAAUCCAGGGCUUCGAUGGAACUGGAGAGGCUAGCACCCAUGGUGGGUGGCAGCCAGCAGUGCCUGCCCCAGCUGUUACUGGGAUGGGUGCUGAAUCCACAGGGAUCUUUUAGGUUCAGUCUCUGGAUUGGAGCGAAGGCAAACUGGGUGGCCUCAUCCUUUGAGGAAAAGCGUGGAGCCCAGUAUCCUACUGUCAGAAUGGGAAACAGGCAGGCUGGGGACACGAGGAAGGGUGAGCGAGCCUGCAGGUCUGGAAGGCUGAGGACAGAGUGUCGGUGGUCCCUCCCUCCCUUUCAUUCGUUCAGGUUCAUGAGUCCUGUCGGGGCGGGGAGAGCCGAAGCCGGGGAGCUCGCUUGUCGCCGCUGUGUUUGUGUAUGUCCCCACCCGAAGAUGUCUAACCACAGACUUCCUCUCGACUCCUGGCAACAGAGAGAAAACAAAACCACAGCAGCUUUCAUUGCUGAAAACACAGAACUCUCCCGUUCACCUAAUGAGCCGGACGGAAGGGCUUUAUUUCUGGGAGGAAAGGCUCAGGACUCCAGGCCCAGGAGCCGUGGCCGCGCAGUCGGACCCCAGACUGCGCACCGCCCGUCCAGGUGGAGGCGGGUGGGGCAGCCACCAGCCCGGGGGGCGGGGGCCGAGGCGCAGGGCCCACGGCACAGCUCUGCCGGGCCCUGCGACGCCGUCGGCCUCUUAGCCGAUUGUGGUUUCGUGGAAUCUGCACUUCGUUUGGCUUGUUCCCUGCGUUAUUUCAGCUAUUGAUUAAUGCCCGCUUCCUGCCCUGUUUCCUGAUUUCCACUGAUGUGUCUUCGGCUCCUUCAUUUUCAGUUGUCUCUCGUCAGGAAGGCGUCUCAGGGCCGCGCCUUUGCCCCUGAGCUGAGCUUUCUUCUGGAUCCCAUAGAUUUGGAAAGAAAAUGGUCCCCUUUUCCAUCUUUUUCUCGAUGAUUUGUAACUUCAGUUUUAAUAUUUCUUUUGCUCCACGGGUUAUCUAGAAGAAUGUUUCUUAAUUUCUAAGCAGUUAAGAAUAUUUUCAGCCACAUUAUCCUAUUUUUCUUUAUUUUAAAAUGUUGGAUGACAGUAAUAGACAGGGACCUGUAAAAUCUCCAAUUUUAAAUUAAAAUAUUUCUUUUCCUUGCGUCCAAGGGUGUGAUCAAACUUUAUAAGGGUUCCAUGGGGAAGGGAAAGCUGAGCUGGUCAGACUGACACAGGAAAGCAUGGCCUUCCAGGAUGUCCUAGCUCUGCAGUGCAGCGUUUUCAGCCCCUCUCCAGCUGUGUCUGUCCGUGAAGAACACACAGAACUUCUCUGAGCUUUGCUGGAAAGCUUUAAAAUGGGAGUUGACGGUAACACCCGCCCCUUCCCCUUGCUGUAAGAUGGUGUGAGGCUGUGACGGUCACGUGCCUAGAGUGGGGCCAGGCACGGAGCAGGCACUCGCUAAGCAGGAACCUUGCUGUUUCAGUGCGUUGUUGUUUUUGCAGAAGGGAGGAACCUUGCUGUCUGGACCCUGAGCUUUGUUCCUAACCCAGAGCUGUGGUUUGUGGUUAUUGUGGGGCCAGAAGAGAAGAGGAAAUUGAUGGCUGAACGCAGCCCUCGCCCUCGCCGGGAGGCGGGGCACCUGCGGCCAGAGGGAUGGGGCCACUUGCCCGUGGAAGCACAGCGACUUGGUGGCAAAGGCAGGCUUCACACCCAGGCCUCCGCCGGCCUUCCCUCCCCCUCUGCUGGCCGUGGCUCUGGUUUCUUUCUUGAAAGAAGAGACAGUUGACUGAAGCUUAGCCUCGGAGAUGCAGGGAGGGCUGGAAGCUCAGGUGGGGUGGCAACUUCUGAACUUGCCAUGUUAUCCCUUCGCCACCUGGGAAGGGUAACACAGGUCAGGAAGCUCCAAGACAAGCUGCAGGAAGAGGGUGGGGCUGGGCGUGCUUGGAUGCUCUGGGCAUCGCUGUUUGCUGGCUCAGUGUGCGCGGGGGGAAAAGCUAGGCUGGUCCGAGGGAGGGUCCUCCCAGCCAUCCCAGGAGGGGUCUGAGCUCCUCUGGGCCUCGACCCUUCGCUGGUCUGCCACGCCUCCCUGGCCCUGGGACUGACCCUGGCACUGACCCUGGCAAAGCCUGGCCCUCCCGGGACCCUGUCAGCACCUCUCUGGAGGUCUUCUCCGGAGCAGGCGUCGGGAGAGGAGCCCCGUGCUACUGGUCAGCGUGGCUCGGCUGUAUGGAUAUGGGAACCGGAGGGCGGGGGAGGCAGCCUGAGCCGGGCUGCGGAGGCCUGACUAAGAGGCAGAGCGACACAGGAUGUGGUCCUGGUUAGCUGCGGGGUGCUGGCAGCUUGCCCGGCGCACACAACUCAGAAGGCAUGCUGCCUUCUUUAUGGCGGAAGGCUGGGGACCAGGGGAGGGGAAGGAACCACAGGACAGAUUUACAAGGUGGAGGGUGCUGAGCUGUCCGACUGGGGCCGUCGAUCUUGGGAGCAAAUGAUCACUUCUUAGCCGAGGACUCCACGUAUCUGGAAGCACCAUGUAACCAGGACGUGCGUGGACCGUGACAAAUGCCUGUAGCAGAUACAGCAGCAUGUGGUUGAAGCCUGCGUGUGGACAUGUGUGGGCAGCUGGGCUCCGACCUCAGGUGUGGGCACGUGCUGUGGGGCAGGCAGCUACCAGGUCAGGCUGGGAUUAGGGGCUGAUUCCAGUGGCUCCUCCAUAUGCAAAGUAAAAAAUAAUGCCCCCCAUUAUUAUUACGGAAAUUAAAUCAAUGUAUACAAACGUGCUUUGUAGCUAUCAGCGCAAAUACAGAAGGGAGUUAAGGUGUUCACUGCUGCCCUACUGUGCGUGCAGGGGGUGCAUUUAAGAGCUGCACCACCAAGGGAAAGGGUCGAUCAGGCUCUGCCACCUGAGUGGGCCAAGGUGAGGCAGGUCGCAGAAGCCCCAGAUGCCAGCAUGUCCAAGGGGGGCCGCCACACAGCGAGUCCACAGCAGGCGCAGGGACCCUUCCCCACACAGGCCCCCUCGCACGGAGAAGAAGCCCCUGCAGGGCAGGGUCUUCAGAGCAGCCCCCCGCGGGGAAGGGCCCCUCGGGCCCUGGCGACCAGCCGGGGCCGCUUGGCUGCCAAGGACAGACAGUCGUUUGCUCAAGCAAAGUGAUGACCUGGGGGGAGGAGUUUCACAAAACCCAAGGGUGAAAAAUUCAGCCCCUCCUGGGGAACUAGAAUCAGGAACUGCAAAGUCAUGUGCACGUCCCCCCCUGGCACCCCCCACCCCGCCCGAGCUUGUCUUCUUCCUCUUUUUUCUCUCCAUUUCCAGCAGCAGAGGGGGGCCCCCAGCCAGGGCCCCUGUGCUCCCAUCAGUUCUGUGGCCAUGAAAGGGGGUGUCUCCUGGACAGCACGGCCCCAGAGCCCAGCCCGUGGGUGUGUUGGGGGUGGUUCUGAGGGGAGGGGUGCUGGCACUGGAUCAGCCCCCAGAGGUGGUCCAUUCUCUGUAGCCCCCUCCCCUGGGGAUCGGGUCGGUCAAAGGCCAUCUGGGGGAGGCUGCCCUCCAGAUGCAGAGAAGCCAGAAUCCCCAGGGACCUCGAAUCAGCUCUUCAGGAAGGAAGACAGAGACAGAGAAACCAAGACUCAGAAAAGCCUGCCUGUUCGCCCUUGAGACAGAACGGUUUCCCUGAGUGGGAAGGGAGGCCAGCUGUAGCUGGCGGAACAGAAAGCAGCAUGGGCUGCUGGGGUGCACACGGGCUCCCACUCCUGUGCUGGCCGCCCACCUCCCAGGAGAGAGGACGUCGCAAAGCAGUCAAGCACGUGGCCCCUGGCCUCCGCUCCACCUCGUUCAGUUCCAGCCACUGUUAUUUACCAGUAAUUUACUCACCCUUGCCAAGCCUCAGUUUUCUCACCGCUGGAAUGGGAAUGACGCUAGCCCAAAGAGAUGUCGCAGCCGCAGGAUUCAACGGGACUCCCGGAGAGAGCCCUCAGCGUGGUGUCUGGGUGGACUCAUCCAUGUUACUCGCCCCAGUGAUCCCUGUCCCCGCGUGGGCGCGCAGCGGGGCCUCGCCCCGUCCCUGGGGUUCAUUUGUUCGUUUUCAGUGGACAAUUACAAUGCAUCCAACGUGCUGGCCACCCUGCCUCCCCAGGGCUUCCUGAACUCCCCCACGUGCUCCCCGCUCUGGGGUCUCACUUGGGCUCUUUCCUGCUCUGUAAUCACUCCUUGCGAGGGCAGCCUGGCCAGGCCCUCGUCCUUGCCCGGGUGCAGCUCAGACCCACCUUCUUCGCUCUGGCUCGCAGCGGACCUGGGAAGGGGUUCACCCCUCCCUCCCCUGCUCCCCAGGCUCGGUCUGCUAGAGAGAGGCAGCAUCCUGCAGUGUGCGGCAGGGAGCCUGAGGUGCCAGGUCAGGCACACCCCCACCUGUGUGACCCGGGCUUGUCUGUGCCUCAGUCUCCUGGUGUGUCAAAUGGAGGUACUACAAACGGUUCUUCCUCUCACAGCGCCGCUGCGAGGAGUUGAUGCAAACCACAGACGCCACCGCCUGGCACCAGGGAGGGCUCACUAGAGGCUGGCUAUUGCUGGAUGUAACCUUCAGAAGCAAAUUUUACUGGCUGUGUCGUUGUCCUCGUGUGGGUGGAUCACCGCGCAGCUAACCGACCCCUUGUUGUUGGGCGUUCAGGCUGCUCCCAACCUUCCACUCUUAUAAAUAAUGCUGCAGUGAACACCUUGCAUAUAAAUCUUUCUGUUUAUCUCUGAUUGUUUCCUUGGAAGAACUCCCUAAAUCUUCUUGUCUUAGAACAAAGUCCUGUCCCCUCAGACUUUUCAAUGAUACCCUUUGAAAUAAAACUAAAGCUUAUUUUCCUUCAGAGGAAGAAACAUAUGGAACAUGUUAACCAAGAGGUGGUUCAGGAGGAAGGUAGAAAUUGGUUCAAGAUGAAUUUGGGUCCAGUGCAGGAUGUCUGACGCAGAGUCGGUUACAAAGCUCCCCUCGAGCCCCCUUCCCAGAGGAGAGGCAGAGCCUCGAUCCUCAGGGACCACUGAUUUCUUUCUUUGAGGCAAUGCCGAGGGGCUUUGAUGUUCCUGGCAUUGGAGAAGUAGCAAUGACAGGUCAAUGAGGCCAGAGUUGGUGGAGAACCCAGGACUCCUCCAGCCAGCAGGGGCGAUACCGCGUGUCUCCGCCGGCCAGCUGGGUUUCUUGUGAACAAGGACUUCCUCUGUUGUUGUCCUAAAACUUUGGCUUACAUUUUAUAUGUUCCUCCUGUUUUUCUUGCCCUCCUCCCACCUUUGCACUUUUCAGAUUCGCUUUGGGUGCACAUCUAUUUGUCCACUCAUUCCGGUGAAGCCUCUUGCCUGCCUCUCCUGAGCCAGACACCGAGAUUGCUUCUAGACCGUUAAGACCUAGACACGCUGGCUUUGGAAGCUCCACCCCGUGCAUGUCAGACAUACUGAAAUUCACUCGUAGUCCGCAUUAAGUAUAUUUUUCUCUGUUGAAAAAUUAUUUUUAUAACCUUGCUUUUGAAAUUAUUUGGCUACAAGUCAUUCCUUCGAUUGACAGUUGGCUUUGACUUCUCAGCACUUAUGGGGGCACUCAAGAAUUCUUGCAAAGUGAGAAAAUCUAACCUACACAGUGUUUUCAAAGAUAAUGAAAUUUUUAUGAAUUUUUAUGAAUACUCCAUGAAACCAUUAAUGAGGUUGAUGUAAUAUUUUGUUUGGUUGACGUUUCAUUAAAAUUUUAUUAAUUUCUAUUGCAAA
Long non-coding RNA from Camelus dromedarius (Arabian camel), 8439 nucleotides. RefSeq lists it as uncharacterized. NCBI's taxonomy places the organism in Eukaryota, Metazoa, Chordata, Mammalia, Artiodactyla, Camelidae. The transcript is spliced from 3 exons. The record is from RefSeq and is a predicted model, not a curated record.